RNAcentral lists this ribosomal RNA (376 nucleotides) under uncultured eukaryote. RNAcentral describes it as "SSU rRNA". It matches the Rfam family "Eukaryotic small subunit ribosomal RNA", at positions 587 to 972 of the family's 1831-position model. The record is from RNAcentral.
AGCUCCAAUAGCGUAUAUUUAAGUUGUUGCAGUUAAAAAGCUCGUAGUUGGAUUUCGGUUGCGAACGACCGGUCCGCCGUUUGGUGUGCACUGGUUGGUUGCAGCUUCCUGUAGAGGACACGCUCUGGGGUUAACGCUUCGGACGUGGAGUCUACGUGGUUACUUUGAAAAAAUUAGAGUGUUCAAAGCGGGCUUACGCUUGAAUAUUUCAGCAUGGAAUAACACUAUAGGACUCCUGUCCUAUUUCGUUGGUCUCGGGACGGGAGUAAUGAUUAAGAGGAACAGUUGGGGGCAUUCGUAUUUCAUUGUCAGAGGUGAAAUUCUUGGAUUUAUGAAAGACGAACUUCUGCGAAAGCAUUUGCCAAGGAUGUUUUCA